UUGCACACUUUGGCAGCACAUAUACUAAAAUUGGAAUGAUACAGAGAUUAACAUGCCCCCUGCACAAGGAUGACAUGCAAAUUCAUGAAGCAUUCCAUAUUAAA
RNAcentral lists this small nuclear RNA (104 nucleotides) under Dasypus novemcinctus (nine-banded armadillo). The record is from RNAcentral. Lineage: Eukaryota; Metazoa; Chordata; Mammalia; Cingulata; Dasypodidae.